GGUAAUCCGCAACACCUGAGAUAAUGUUGUAACUGAUAGCAGCUCUAAGUUGUCAUCCUCUAGGUAGACCAGCACCAGAGUUUGUUGAGAUUUAAUAUGGAGAAAUAAUAAUAUUAUCUAUUAUUCUGCAUCCUUUUUACUGUUAGACGGGUGUCAUUAAAUGUUGAAGGUCAGGUUCUUCUAAUAAGAGGUCAUAUCCUGAUAUCCUCCAUUCCAGUUCUAAUAUCAUCAGCUAUCUCAGUGGCUGAAGAAGGAUUCUGUUCAACAUGAUGAGCAAAGACGAAUCUGACUCAACAUUAAAUGGCUGCCACUAUAUGAGCCAUGGCUGUUAUUACCAGAGUGAAUAAAGACUUGCUUUUAA
This is a long non-coding RNA of Alligator mississippiensis (American alligator), 361 nucleotides long. RefSeq lists it as uncharacterized. The transcript is spliced from 2 exons. NCBI's taxonomy places the organism in Eukaryota, Metazoa, Chordata, Crocodylia, Alligatoridae. The record is from RefSeq and is a predicted model, not a curated record.